Arachis ipaensis is the source of this 489-nucleotide non-coding RNA. The record is from RefSeq and is a predicted model, not a curated record. NCBI's taxonomy places the organism in Eukaryota, Viridiplantae, Streptophyta, Magnoliopsida, Fabales, Fabaceae.
UUACUUUGCAAGAUAAAAUUUUCUAUGUUAUGGGAACAGUUACAGAGGUUGUUGAUAAUCCAAAUUGGUGGUAUUAUUCAUGUGUUUGUGGAAAUGCUGUUGUUGCUGAUGAUAAUACUUAUCAUUGUGAUAUUUGUGACUCAUGUGUGGAACAUGUGGUUUUAAAGUAUAGAAUAACUGGCAUUGUUGAUGAUGGAACAUCAUUUGCAGUAUUUGCACUUGUUGAUAAUGCUGCAACAAAAUUAUUUGGAAAAACUUGUGCCGAAGCUUUCUUGUAUAUAGAGAAAGAAUUCUCCUCAGAUUGAAAUGUUGUCUCAAUGGUUAAUCAAUCUAGCAUCGUCCCCCUAUUUCAUGGAGUUAUUGGAGAUAAGAUAGUGUUCAAAGUUUAGAUGCGCAAUGUUUUUGGACAACAUUAUUUUUGUCAAUUUAAAGUUGUUAAUCUGUUUGGUGAUAUAGCUGGACCAUCUUUGCCUGUUCAGUGUCUUAAUG